GACGAACGCUGGCGGCGUGCCUAAUACAUGCAAGUCGAGCGGACGGAUGGGAGCUUGCUCCCAGACCGUCAGCGGCGGACGGGUGAGUAACACGUGGGCAACCUGCCUGUAAGACUGGGAUAACUCCGGGAAACCGGGGCUAAUACCGGAUAACUCUUUCCCUCACUUGAGGGAAAGCUGAAAGAUGGCAUUUCGCUAUCACUUACAGAUGGGCCCGCGGCGCAUUAGCUAGUUGGUGAGGUAACGGCUCACCAAGGCGACGAUGCGUAGCCGACCUGAGAGGGGGAUCGGCCACACUGGAACGGGGACACGGCCAAGACUCCUACGGGAGGCAGCAGAAGGGAAUCUUCCGCAAUGGACGAAAGUCUGACGGAGCAACGCCGCGUGAGUGAUGAAGGUGUUCGGAUCGUAAAACUCUGUUGUAAGGGAAGAACAAGUACCGGAGUAACUGCCGGUACCUUGACGGUACCUGACCAGAAAGCCACGGCUAACUACGUG
RNAcentral lists this ribosomal RNA (498 nucleotides) under uncultured bacterium. Its description in RNAcentral is "partial 16S ribosomal RNA". It matches the Rfam family "Bacterial small subunit ribosomal RNA", at positions 28 to 507 of the family's 1533-position model. The record is from RNAcentral.